GAUGAACGCUGGCGGCGUGCCUAACACAUGCAAGUCGAACGAAGCUCUUACGACAGAACUCUUCGGAGGGAAGAUGUAAGAGACUGAGUGGCGGACGGGUGAGUAACGCGUGGGUAACCUGCCCUAUACAGGGGGACAACAGUUGGAAACGACUGCUAAUACCGCAUAAGCGCACAGUACCGCAUGGUACAGAGCGAAAAACUCCGGUGGUAUAGGAUGGGCCCGCGUCUGAUUAGCUAGUUGGAGGUGUAACGGACUACCAAGGCGACGAUCAGUAGCCGGCUUGAGAGAGGGAACGGCCACAUUGGGACUGAGACACGGCCCAAACUCCUACGGGAGGCAGCAGUGGGGAAUAUUGCACGAUGGGGGAAACCCUGAUGCAGCAACGCCGCGUGAGUGAAGAAGUAUUUCGGUAUGUAAAGCUCUAUCAGCAGGGAAGAAAAUGACGGUACCUGACUAAGAAGCCCCGGCUAACUACGUGCCAGCAGCCGCAGUAA
RNAcentral lists this ribosomal RNA (497 nucleotides) under uncultured bacterium. RNAcentral's name for it is "partial 16S ribosomal RNA". It matches the Rfam family "Bacterial small subunit ribosomal RNA", at positions 28 to 523 of the family's 1533-position model. The record is from RNAcentral.